UACAGAGGGGGCAAGCGUUGUUCGGAAUUACUGGGCGUAAAGGGCGCGUAGGCGGCCUGUUAAGUCAGACGUGAAAUCCCUCGGCUCAACCGGGGAACUGCGUCUGAUACUGGCGGGCUUGAAUUCGGGAGAGGGAUGUGGAAUUCCAGGUGUAGCGGUGAAAUGCGUAGAUAUCUGGAGGAACACCGGUGGCGAAGGCGGUCUGCUGGGCAGUUGCUGACACUGAGGCGCGACAGCGUGGGGAGCAAACAGG
Molecule: ribosomal RNA, 253 nt
Filed under: uncultured bacterium
Lineage: Bacteria
Description: partial 16S ribosomal RNA
Rfam family: Bacterial small subunit ribosomal RNA
Source: RNAcentral